GAUGAACGCUGGCGGCGUGCCUAAUACAUGCAAGUCGAGCGAACAGACGAGGAGCUUGCUCCUCUGACGUUAGCGGCGGACGGGUGAGUAACACGUGGAUAACCUACCUAUAAGACUGGGAUAACUUCGGGAAACCGGAGCUAAUACCGGAUAAUAUAUUGAACCGCAUGGUUCAAUAGUGAAAGACGGUUUUGCUGUCACUUAUAGAUGGAUCCGCGCCGCAUUAGCUAGUUGGUAAGGUAACGGCUUACCAAGGCGACGAUGCGUAGCCGACCUGAGAGGGUGAUCGGCCACACUGGAACUGAGACACGGUCAAGACUCCUACGGGAGGCAGCAGUAGGGAAUCUUACGCAAUGGGCGAAAGCCUGACGGAGCAACGCCGCGUGAGUGAUGAAGGUCUUCGGAUCGUAAAACUCUGUUAUUAGGGAAGAACAAAUGUGUAAGUAACUAUGCACGUCUUGACGGUACCUAAUCAGAAAGCCACGGCUAACUACGUG
Molecule: ribosomal RNA, 497 nt
Filed under: uncultured bacterium
Lineage: Bacteria
Description: partial 16S ribosomal RNA
Rfam family: Bacterial small subunit ribosomal RNA
Source: RNAcentral